Molecule: long non-coding RNA, 883 nt
Organism: Lepidothrix coronata (blue-crowned manakin)
Lineage: Eukaryota; Metazoa; Chordata; Aves; Passeriformes; Pipridae
Exons: 3
Source: RefSeq, a predicted model, not a curated record
GCUAUUACCACAUUCCUAAAGACGGUUCACCAUCAGGCCCCAGCCCCAUACCAGCCAGACCGCAGGAACACCACCAGAGCAAAAGGUGACCUGGGACUGCUUCACUUGGCACUGGUGCCAAGAGCAGCAUCCACCAAGCGAUGGCCUGAAGUACACGAACAAAUCCUCAACCACAGCUUGGGGUCUGGUAAAGCCAGCUGCAGCAUGACUUGUCCAUGGCCUUGUCACCUAAUUUAAUAUGAAAUGGAGUUGUGAUUCAUGUGCCGCAUCAAGUGUCAGAAACAGAGUUUAGCUAUGAAGGAGCCAGCUGUCUUUUCCUCAGAGCUGUCAGUGGCAGAAAUCCCCAAAGCAGACCAGUAUUUCAGCUUUAGCCCUCGCUGGGGUCGGGAGGAAUGAUGGAAGAUGCUGCUGCCACAUGAUGUCAUAGUCACUGUAUCAGAGAGCACUGCAGGCAGUAUCUGUCACAACCAACACAAGCCAUUCCACAAGGGAGCUCCGGUGAGUCCCUGUCAGUCCGGGACAAUUGCUGGUCCCAGACGCUUCUCCCACAGCACCAGUGCAAUGGAGCUUGCAGCUCCUGAUUUUUAAUCUGAGGGGAGUGCCAAUCAGGCCAGGAGUUACAAUAAUAAUGACAGGAAAUGAGCUGUAGUAUUUUCUGCAGGAACGACACAGAGCAUGACCAUAACCAAACUUCAUCCUGAAAGCAGCUGAUCCAAUCAACAGUUCAUACAAUAUUUAGUAUUUAAAAACAACAGAUUCAUGUUUCCUGCAAACAUACUGCUUUGUCAUUCCUGUAGAACAUUUCCUGACACAUUGUUUCCUUAUUUAAAGCCUUUCUAAUAUAACACACACAGUACAUCAGCUGAUACUUGUCACAGCUAUG